CUUUGAUUCAGCUAGUUCUGACUAGUUUUUGGUUGUGGUCCGAGAACAAAACUUGGUCUUCUAGUAAGUCUGAAUCUGUUGGCAUAGGUAUUCACCGGUGGUUUGGAGAUUUUUCGUCGCUGAAAAUUUUUUCAAGACACCCACGCGCUGCUAGCUGUGGGUGGCAGCCCAUAGAGUUCUAAAUUGUUACCCUUGUCGUCCUGAGCAUGACGGUAUGCUCGAAUUUGGAUUUGAUUAUCGUUUGACAGUCGAACGCAUAUUGCACCUAUUAUGCGAUAUCGGGGUUCAAUAGGUUGGACCGUUCAAUCGGUCCCAUUUUCUAAUGCGUUGCUCCUCAUACUUUUAGGAUUUGUGUUGGAAAUGGUGGAUCAAGAAUGGGAGUCCUGGAUACUCCGAAUCAAUGAUUCUAGGGUUAAGUAAACCGAUUACCGUCCGAUCGUGCCAUCGAGAGCAAUUCGAUUGCUCAAUCGAAGUAGACCUUGUUGGACUUAUAGUAAAGUUUGGAUCGAAUCGGAGGUUAUGGGCCCGGCGGGCCCAAUUGGUCAAAUUCAGCGAUCAAACCGACCAUUAGAUCGUGACGGGACUUCUAGAACGGC
Molecule: long non-coding RNA, 596 nt
Filed under: Prunus dulcis (almond)
Lineage: Eukaryota; Viridiplantae; Streptophyta; Magnoliopsida; Rosales; Rosaceae
Description: sRNA ncRNA
Source: RNAcentral